AUUGAACGCUGGCGGCAUGCCUUACACAUGCAAGUCGAACGGCAGCAUGAUCUAGCUUGCUAGAUUGAUGGCGAGUGGCGAACGGGUGAGUAAUACAUCGGAACGUGCCCUGUAGUGGGGGAUAACUAGUCGAAAGAUUAGCUAAUACCGCAUACGACCUGAGGGUGAAAGUGGGGGACCGCAAGGCCUCAUGCUAUAGGAGCGGCCGAUGUCUGAUUAGCUAGUUGGUGAGGUAAAGGCUCACCAAGGCGACGAUCAGUAGCUGGUCUGAGAGGACGAUCAGCCACACUGGGACUGAGACACGGCCCAGACUCCUACGGGAGGCAGCAGUGGGGAAUUUUGGACAAUGGGCGAAAGCCUGAUCCAGCAAUGCCGCGUAUGUGAAGAAGGCCUUCGGGUUGUAAAGCACUUUUGUCCGGAAAGAAAUGGCUCUGGUUAAUACCUGGGGUCGAUGACGGUACCGGAAGAAUAAGGACCGGCUAACUACGUG
This 490-nucleotide ribosomal RNA is filed under the name uncultured bacterium. RNAcentral describes it as "partial 16S ribosomal RNA". It matches the Rfam family "Bacterial small subunit ribosomal RNA", at positions 30 to 507 of the family's 1533-position model. The record is from RNAcentral.